GACGAACGCUUGCGACGUGCCUAAGAAAUGCAAGUCGAACGGGGGAGCAAUCCCUAGUGGCGAACGGUCGCGUAACACGUGGGCAACCUGCCCUGGAGCGGGGGACAACAUUCCGAAAGGAGUGCUAAUACCGCAUACGGUGGGGAUCGGCAUCGAUCCCUUACUAAAGGAUUUAUUCACUCCAGGAUGGGCCCGCGGCCUAUCAGCUAGUUGGUGGGGUAACGGCCUACCAAGGCUUCGACGGGUAGCGGUCUGAGAGGACGAUCAGCCGGAUUGGGACUGAGAUACGGCCCAGACUCCUACGGGGGGCANCAAUUAGGGAAUCUUGCGCAAUGGGCGAAAGCCUGACGCAGCGACGUCGCGUGGAGGAUGAAAUCUUUCGGGAUGUAAACUCCUUUUACCAGGAAGAAGAAUGUGACGGUACCUGGGGAAGUAAGCCCCGGCUAACUACGUGCCAGCAG
This 461-nucleotide ribosomal RNA is filed under the name uncultured bacterium. RNAcentral describes it as "bacterial SSU rRNA". It matches the Rfam family "Bacterial small subunit ribosomal RNA", at positions 28 to 514 of the family's 1533-position model. The record is from RNAcentral.